This is a long non-coding RNA of Papaver somniferum (opium poppy), 1184 nucleotides long. RefSeq lists it as uncharacterized. The transcript has 2 exons. Lineage: Eukaryota; Viridiplantae; Streptophyta; Magnoliopsida; Ranunculales; Papaveraceae. The record is from RefSeq and is a predicted model, not a curated record.
UAAGAGUUAGGGUUGCUGAUUUUGUGUUGAACCGAGAGUGAUAUCGAGUUGUAAUAAUUGGAGAUUAAGAGGGUUGUCGAUGAAUUGAGGAGAUGAAGCUGUUCUGAUGAAGAAAUAAAAGAAAAGUUCUUAGGAAAUAUAAACUCUGAUUAGGGUUUUACUGAGAAGAUUGGGGUUUGGGUUUGUCUUAAUUGGGAUUAUUGUUAGUGAUUUUGAUAUGGUGAGGCAGUUGAAGUAAGGAUAUGGUGUUGGUUGUUAUAGCUGAGCUGUUGGUGAAGCUGAGGUGAAUGGAAGUAAUGAAGAUGUUAUUGUUGAUGCAGCUAUGGAGAUAAUGCUACUGAAUUAGUAAAGCACAUGAUUUUGGAGAUGGUGUUGAUACCAAAUCGGUUGCUGGUGCAGGACAAGGCAGAGAAGUUGAGUUGAGUAUAGUAUGGAGCUUUAGUUAUUUGUUAGGGUUGUAUUAGAUCACAUGGAGGAAGGAAAGAUGUGUUAAUAAUGAAGUAGUAAUGAAGUGGUUUAGAUGAGUUGUAGAUGAUCUGGGAUGCAAGCUGAGGUGAUGUUGAAUCAUGAGAUAGACUUGUUGGUGGUUGUAAUUGAGUAGGGUGAUGUUAUACAGUACAAGGAAAAGAACUGAGCUGAAAUUUAAAUGAUUGACUAGGAUUGUUGGGCUUCAGCUGUAAUUCGGGAUACUAGUGUGGUGCAGGUCAUGUUAGAUGAUUGCAUAGCAAGUUCAUCAAAUUGAACUGGUGAUGAAGUCAGUUAGAUGAAGAUGUAGUUGAAGUUAUCAAGAUAUAGUGAUGUAGAAGAUGUUGAGACAUAUAAUGGUUAUGCAGAUGCGAAUGAAGUGAACUUGUGUAAGAAAUUUGAGAAAGACGAUAUUUCAGUUGAAGCUUAGAUGAUAGAGAAGUGGCUGAGUUUCGUAUUGAAGUUGUUUCUCAGUAGUGGUGAUAAAUGUAAGAGCUGGUAGUUGGAGUUAGAGUUGGUAGUUGCAGAUGGAACAGAUUUAUUUUGGAAUUACAAAGAAUGGUUGGUUGAUGUAAUGGUGCUUGUAUGAAUGAUAGUCAUACUGGAGUGGCACUUCAUGAAGCUAUGAUAUUGUGGUGUUUGAGUUGAAACAAAGAAGAGAUAAUUAAGUUGUGUACUUUUGCAAUGGGGUUUAGAAAUGCAUUUUUUGAGUCUUGGCA